GAUGGUUUGACAGAACCCCACUGACUGACUCAGCCUGCUCCUCACAAGCAGGGAAGAGCUGUUGGCAGCUCUGGUCACACAGGGCAGCCCAGGAAGCAGCAACACAAGAUGCUGGAGGCUGGGGCACAGAGGAAGGCUGGAAGAGUU
Molecule: long non-coding RNA, 147 nt
Filed under: Taeniopygia guttata (zebra finch)
Lineage: Eukaryota; Metazoa; Chordata; Aves; Passeriformes; Estrildidae
Description: lncRNA (ENSTGUG00000026998.1)
Source: RNAcentral